UACGGAGGAUGCAAGCGUUAUCCGGAAUGAUUGGGCGUAAAGCGUCCGCAGGUGGCAAUGUAAGUCUGCUGUCAAAGCGUCUGGCUCAACCAGAUAAAGGCAGUGGAAACUACAUAGCUAGAGUAAGGUAGGGGUAGAGGGAAUUCCUGGUGUAGCGGUGAAAUGCGUAGAGAUCAGGAAGAACACCGGUGGCGAAAAGCGCUCUGCUGGACCUUAACUGACACUGAGGGACGAAAGCUAGGGGGAGCGAAUGGG
This 255-nucleotide ribosomal RNA is filed under the name uncultured bacterium. RNAcentral describes it as "partial 16S ribosomal RNA". It matches the Rfam family "Bacterial small subunit ribosomal RNA", at positions 524 to 776 of the family's 1533-position model. The record is from RNAcentral.